Triticum aestivum (bread wheat) is the source of this 4852-nucleotide long non-coding RNA. RefSeq lists it as uncharacterized. The transcript is spliced from 5 exons. Lineage: Eukaryota; Viridiplantae; Streptophyta; Magnoliopsida; Poales; Poaceae. The record is from RefSeq and is a predicted model, not a curated record.
AGGAAAACAAGUCAUCCAAUCGCCCACGCGCACCCGCCCUACCAGCCACGACCGACCCGCAAACCCUAGCCGCCUCGACCUCCGCCUCCGCUUCAGCAAUGGUCGGCGCCUUUGCGGCUCGACGGCGCUGCUGGAUACCCCUCCCGCGCGCUGGCCUGUGCUGCACCGCACAACCGGAAGCCCGGCGGCCGGCAGGACCAUGCAGGGGCAUGUCGUGGGUCGCCCCGGCCGGCAGAAGCUCACCCCCGCAUCCUUGCUCUGCAGCAAAUCUCGGUCUCGUCCACACUCGCAGUUACCCCCAUCAAAGGAUGAACUUUUCCAUGUGGUUGCUCUAACGGGGUUCUCCCCGUCGCUGCGAUUGCUGUCAGGUGUGACUCUCCAUGAAUGCACCGGCAGCAUCCUUGGGCCAGCCUCUGGUCAAGAGGAGAGAUCCAGAUGAACAUAUGUUAAGGCACAACAGGCUAACGAGAGGCAGUUGAUAGAUCACUAUGGAUCAAAGCAUCCCAGGGAGAAACCUCCAUGUCCAUCAAAUGCAGACUGACUGAUGCGAAGUGGAAGCGUGAGCUGUAGUUGACUGUUUCUGAGGGUGUUCAAUCUGCUCCAUACUUGGAUGACUCAGCUUCAGCUUUUCCCGUUGUAAUGUAUGCAUUUCCGUGUCCACUCAGAUUGUUCUAUUAUCUCUUUGAUAUGAAUUACUUGCAGAGAAAUUCUUGCAUGGCGUGAAAUACAACCAUGGGGUGUUCAAUUGCCAUCUUUGAUUAGGCUGGGGAUUCUUUUACAGGAUGCAGGUUUUGUACCAUAUGAUCAUUGAGUUGCAUAUGAAUAUAUGAUUUCCCCUUUUGACAUGGGCAUGUGCCAUGUAGUAUAACAUUUACAAAGAAUGACAUGGAAAUUGCAAGUAAAUGGUUACUCUACCCUAUUGCUUCUUUAGGACUGAGACAUGGUGAUAAGAAUCUAGAGAUGCGUACUCCUCUGUCACAAUAAGAUCAAGUCGCCUGUCAUAUUGUUGAUUCUUGUACAGAUUAAAUUGUGAGCAAUUAGGACACAUACCCUUCUUCUUGCCAUAUUGUUGAUUCUCUUACAGAUCCACCUCCCAUGUUGCCGGCAAGGGUCUGUAUGCAUUAGUGGUUUAGUAUGGUGUUCUAAAGAAGACCGCCCCACUUUGUGGCCACUGCAGCUGUUAAUAGGGAGGCCACCCAUCAGUGUCACUAAAUGCUGUGGCAAUAUCCUCUUCUUUUCUUCACUUCGGGGAUGGCCGCAGUUCUACCCCUGACGCCGCUGCACGUAAGCGGGAUGUAAUUGUCUCGUUGACUCUGCACUGUACUAGAAAUUUGGAGGCCAAGGCAAUCAACAAACGAUGUAUCUAACUACAGGCACUCGAUUUCAGAUGGACUCUGCGGGCUUAGAAUAAACCGAUGCAAAACAUUGUGUCCUUUGCUGUUAGCAGCUCGAAACAUUCCUGGCCACCGCGGGCAGGUCUGCACCAUGUGCAUACCGAGAAUCAAAGGCCUGAGCAUGGCCAUUCUUUUGUUGACCAUUCUGGUUUGUAUAAUUCUUUCACCUAUAAAUUCCGCAGUUCCUCCAAUACCCAAAACCUGCAAUUAAGAGGUGCAAAGAUAUUAUAAAGUGAAUAAUAGAGCAUUCAAACUAAAACAACUUUUUACAAACCUUUAUAUUGUCUUUGGGGAGGUAACGAUAAGGACAGCACUUCUGGGUUGUCCAUGUAGUCGUUUUUGUAAAGAACUUUUCAUUUUUUGAGGUAUUUAUGAUGCUGACAUGAAGCCUCAUGGGCAUUUGCACUUGUCUUCUCGCCAAGGUGGUAUGCAGCAAUUUGUCCAUUGGCAUAUCCAAAAUAGACCUUUUCAGAUGAAGAAUCUGCAAUAAAACGUUUUGAGAAGAUUAUACAAUAUGGAUAUGCAAAAGAUAUAGCUCUGAGUGCUGUUUUAACAUUUUACACACACCUUGUUGUCCCAUCCUUGGGUGCUCAUCUUCCUUCUAGCGUAGCAGCUUGGAGAACUAACUUUUGCUUUAUUUGAAAACCGCCCAUGCCCUUGACCCAGUUUCAGUUCAGGACCAGGGGGCUGCUCUGUAAAUAAACUCUCCACCUUCCCAUUGACAUUCAACAUAUGAAACAGACCGUCAUCCAUAGGUACAAAAGAAUCCUCAGGAGGAGGUGCACCUUUUCCAUGUUUCUUUUUGCAGUGUGUAUCCUUUUCCUUUCUAGCAAAUGACUCAUCACGUGCACGCCAUACAUCUGGCUGUUGCGCUUUUUCAUGACUGAAAAUACCAUCAUCGUAAGCAUCUAACUGUAGAAUCUUCACCAACUCAAGAACUUUCUCAAUAGAGUCCAUCCCUGGAAAAGCAAUGCCUUGGUCUAACUCUGGGAGCUCCAAUCCUUCGCGAAGACAGUGCAUGUACUUCAUGGCAUAUUCGCUCAGCUUGUUCCAGUUGCGCACGAGCUCAUUCAUCCAUGGAAUAAAAUAGUCGAGGCGCAUAGAAUUUGGGCUGGGAAUGUUCAUGUACAGUGCUUGAAAAACUAUCUCAAACCUUGGACCUUCUCCCAGAUAAACAACAAAAAGACCUACGAACUUGGGGUCUAUGCGCUCCCCACCCUCGAUUAUGGAGGUGAAUGCCUUUCUUAGGUAACGCAAACCUGUAAGCGACCCUCCAGGGUCACCAUUGCAUAUAUCAUGGUGGUUACCUCCAAAGGAAAGGACUGUGUGGUCCGAGCACUCUAUGUAGUUCUUCUGGUCACCGUCCGGUUUUAGCUCAUGCACCUUACCAUCAAUGCAGUAGGCUUUCACCCACCAGUAUCGACCUUGCUUAAUAAAUGUGAUUGUAUCUUUUUUAUACUUGACCACUGUGCAACACGUGCCCUUCUCUGGAGUGGUGAAGACGUGUUUUUUUCUGCGGAAGAGUCGAGUCACAUCCACUCGGAUGCCUUUCUUAUAGUUCCACCACCUCGCUGAUUGGACAUACUUCUUGUAGUUAGCCUGUACCACUUUAGGGGGGCCGCUAAUAUCCAAGAGCAGCACAUCCUAAAUAUGAAUCAGGAAUUAAAAAAAUAGAUCAGUCAAUGUACCCUAGCAGGAAAAAGGUGGACAAUGAACACUACAUCAUAUAUGCUGCUGUAUUUUUUGGUUGAGUAAUCAUAUGUGCUGCUGUUACUGUCAAAGAGCAAUAGCAAUUUGUUGUGGCAUAAAUUUGCGCAAAGUAUUCUCAAGAACUCCAUGAUUGUUUUUUCGCAGAGAGCGCUGGCUAUGUUUGAGUGCCAAGUCUUGUAGUAUCAGUGAAUGCAUUUAUAAUUUGGAGAGUCGGUGCUUACAACAGUAGUCCCAGGUUGGUUAAAUUGUAUAGCAUGAAGGUUAAGGUUAUUUGCAUAAAAAUAGAUUUGUCAAUAACCAUAUGGACUUUUUUUGACAGUACCAUAUGGAUGAGUUUGUCAUAAUGCCCGACCUUCAUUUUAGUGUGUUACAAUUCAUUCCUCUUUGAGAUGCAAAAUGUAGAAAGACAACUAAUUAUGUGCACGAUAUCCUAUACCUAUACAUUUUGAUUUUCUAUGCCAUGUUAGCAUUUGCUUAAUCAUGAACAAUCUUAGUGCAUAUGUUCCUUUCAGUCGAGACUCCAACUAACCUUUACUUUUGCUUAUUAUGCUUUUGAAUAUUAGAUAACUUUUACCAUUCUACGAUAUUUGAUAUGUGUUGGAGUAAUCAGUUUAGAAAAAAGUAGGAAUUUGGCUUUUACUUCUGCUAAUAUAAUAAUCAUAUUUUUGGUUUGUGGCGAAGACUCCAACUUACUAUUUUUUAUUUAUUUCUGAAAGUGUUUCCUUCUGAUUAUGUUUGCUGGAUAGAACAGAUUGUUCAAAGUGGUAACGUUUUCUGUUAGAGUUAAUGACCAGUUGGGUCCUUUUUUAAAACUAAGAAAGGUUUAAGACAGGGGCCCCCCUGUCCCCCAUUUUAUUCAAUAUUGCUAUUAAUUUCUUGCAAGAACUUGUAGAGCUAUUUCUCAAGGAGAGAUUAAAGGGGCAGUGCCUAAUUCAGUAGUAGGUCUAGCGAUGAUUUAACUGAGGCUGGAGAAAAAAAUGCUAGAAAUCUAAAAUCAAUUCUGAUUCUGUUUGAACAUUUAGCUGGUUUAAAAAUUACUUCUCGUAAGAGUGAUAUUUGUUGCUUUGGUGAAGCUGGGAAUGAUCUAGAAAGAUAUAAGGAGAUUUUUACUUGCAAUAUUGGAUCAUUGCCUCUUUAAAUAUUUAGGGAUUUCUGUAAAUACUGUUAAAUCUAGGAAUAAUGAUUGGAAUAAAGCUGAGAAUAUAACACGGAAAUCUAGCAAGGAAAUUUUCUAGACUAUGGUGGUAAAUUGAUUCUUACUUGACCCUGUCUGAGUAAUAUUCCCUUUAUGAUGUCAAUGAUUACUUUGCCCAUAGAGCCUUCUGAAUAAUUGAGUUUUUUAUGAGAAGGAUGUUGUGGCAGGAGGAUGACAGUUAGAUGGGCUGAUGUUUGUCCUAGGUGGCUUGGGGAUUGAAGACUUGCAAGUUAUGUACUGCCUCUAUCAAAAUAUGACAUUUUUGCAUUUCAAUUUGAACUGCAAAAACGUCUUAUAUUUUGGUAUGGAGGGAGUAUAUCUGUUGAUGGAUUUGGAUUAGAAACUCGAGAUGGUUUAUUGCAAGAGUUAAUUCAAAGAAAACACUGUAACAGGAAGUUGCUGAGUGACAUUUGCAUUGUUUUUCAUGGCUUGGUUAGUUGUAAAGAGUAUUUUGUAAGUAUUGUACUCCCUCUGUAAACUAAUAUAAGAGCAUUUAGAUCACUAUUUUAGUAUUCUAAACACUCUUAUAUUAGUUUAGAAAGCAAGAUUUUCA